UACAGAGGGUGCAAGCGUUGUUCGGAAUUAUUGGGCGUAAAGCGCGUGUAGGCGGCUUUGCAAGUCGGGUGUGAAAGCCCUCAGCUUAACUGAGGAAGUGCGCCCGAAACUGCAUGGCUUGAGUACCGGAGAGGAUGGUGGAAUUCCCCAAGUAGAGGUGAAAUUCGUAGAUAUGGGGAGGAACACCGGUGGCGAAGGCGACCAUCUGGACGGAUACUGACGCUGAGACGCGAAAGCGUGGGUAGCAAACAGG
RNAcentral lists this ribosomal RNA (253 nucleotides) under uncultured bacterium. RNAcentral describes it as "partial 16S ribosomal RNA". It matches the Rfam family "Bacterial small subunit ribosomal RNA", at positions 524 to 776 of the family's 1533-position model. The record is from RNAcentral.